AUACGUAGGGGGCGAGCGUUGUCCGGAAUUACUGGGCGUAAAGGGUGCGUAGGCGGUUCAUUAAGUUAGAAGUGUAAUACCCAGGGCUUAACUCGGGUGCUGCUUCUAAAACUAAUGGGCUUGAGUGCAGGAGGGGAGAGUGGAAUUCCUAGUGUAGCGGUGGAAUGCGUAGAUAUUAGGAAGAACAUCAGUGGCGAAGGCGACUCUCUGGCCUGUAACUGACGCUGAGGCACGAAAGCGUGGGUAGCAAACAGGAUUAGAUACCCUGGUAGUCCACGCCGUAAACGAUGGAUACUAGAUGCAGGAGGUAUUGACUCCUUCUGUGUCGCAGUUAACGCAUUAAGUAUCCCGCCUGGGGAGUACGGCCGCAAGGCUAAA
RNAcentral lists this ribosomal RNA (378 nucleotides) under uncultured bacterium. RNAcentral describes it as "bacterial SSU rRNA". It matches the Rfam family "Bacterial small subunit ribosomal RNA", at positions 523 to 898 of the family's 1533-position model. The record is from RNAcentral.